This 73-nucleotide transfer RNA is filed under the name Oncorhynchus masou masou (cherry salmon). Its description in RNAcentral is "tRNA-Met". It matches the Rfam family "tRNA". From Rfam's summary of the family: Transfer RNA (tRNA) molecules are approximately 80 nucleotides in length. The record is from RNAcentral. Lineage: Eukaryota; Metazoa; Chordata; Actinopteri; Salmoniformes; Salmonidae.
AUCUAGUAAGGUCAGCUAAUUAAGCUUUCGGGCCCAUACCCCGAAUAUGUUGGUUAAAAUCCUUCCCUUACUA